AAAACAACAGUGGCCUGCUUCCUGCUGGAUCUUUGUCUGAUGGUACAGAAAACAAAGUUUCUCUGGAGUGCAACAGAGAAACUACAAAUGUAAAUGUAAAUUUGCAGGUCCAAAUUUAAAGACUCACUGACUCCGUUGAUCUUUUGCUCAAAGUUGGAACAACUUCAGACUGAAACUGGACUUUAAAUGAGGACAAACUGCUGGAACACAAGAUAAUGCCAGAUUUGGAAAAUCUCAUUUGUCCAAAGAGGAGAGUAAUUCCUGCUGUGAAGCUACAGCUAAAGAUGAGUGGUUCUGGUAAACAUUCUGGAGACGAUGUUUCACUUCCCAGAAAUCAACUGAAAGGAAAGACGAAGACCAGCCUGACUGGAGUCUCAUAGUUUUGGACCAAGUCUGAGCAUCUGGAUUAUUCCACAUUUCAGCACCAACAUUGAUCCAUGAACAUCACAGAAAACACAAAACACAGCUUGUGUAUCUUUGGCUGUUGGUGGUGAACACAGACCUCCCAAGAUCACACGACUGUCAGGAUGUUUUUAUUUACUGUUAGAAAAAGGUCUAAUCUGCAUACUGAAGAUGUAAAUAUAUUUUAGUGCUAUUUUUGCAUGACUGGAUGUUUUUACAUACUCUGAGUUUAUGUAGAAUGUGACGUCUUUUAUCAUUAAAUUAGCUAUGAAGAUAUAACAGCAGGUAGCCUAGUAUUAGUCAAUGAGCUUUAAUCUAAUCAUCCAGAUAGUCACCAUUUUUCAGUGUCGUAUUCAGAGUUUGCUGGUUCAUGCUCACAUUCCUUUUACUUUAUCUGUAGUAAAACUAGAAAACUACAAGUUAGAGAGUGGAUCUUCAGCCUGUGUGUGUCCUUCAGCUGAGUGUCUUUUCUAUCAUGCCACAUCUGUUCAUGUGAAAGUGAAAGCAGCCUGUAUAGGAUCUUUAUUUUUAGCUUCAAUGUACAUUUGCAUUUCUUGCCUCAUUUGUUUCCAGCUGCUCUAAUAUUUAAAUAUCUCCUGUAAUAUCUGACGUUCACAGUGAAGUUCACAGCUCAGAUACAGCUUCAAAUAAAAGUAGAAACAUGAGGGAGAUACUUUAGUUUGGUUUGGAGCCUCUGCAGUCAGUGUAGCUUUAACAGUAUUCAGCCCGCCUUCAGACAGACCGUGGGAGGUUUACAUUCCUGUGGUUCUCAGUUCUGCUGCAGUGAACUUUGUGGUUUGUUUUUUACUCUCUGGUAUGCUUGUUGGUUUUUCUGCUGUUAUUGCUUUCGUUCUAGUUUAACAAGCUGCUGAAGGCCUAAGAUGGAACUUGAACCUUGUGAGUCACACCUAUGGUAACUAGACCAGAGGAAACCAACAGUGAUGAGGGCUCCUCCCUAACAUGCUCUAAUGUUUGGAUCACAUUGCAGGCGGUGGUUGUUUUUACUAAAACUGUAACAUCCAGUUCUACUCACUGCACCAACAAUUAGAAUAAGACGGAAAGCAACCUAAAGCUUCAGCGGCAUCGUUGUCAUGGUUACAGCCAGUCAGAGUUUUAAUUUCAUUUCUUGUUUUGCUGCUCUGGUUUCGUUGGUUCAUUUGUUUUUGUAACUGUUUUACUGAAGAUUCCUUUUAUAAUGUUA
Long non-coding RNA from Acanthochromis polyacanthus (spiny chromis), 1603 nucleotides. RefSeq lists it as uncharacterized. The transcript has 2 exons. NCBI's taxonomy places the organism in Eukaryota, Metazoa, Chordata, Actinopteri, Pomacentridae. The record is from RefSeq and is a predicted model, not a curated record.